Rufibacter tibetensis is the source of this 96-nucleotide regulatory RNA element. It matches the Rfam family "SAM-I/IV (S-adenosyl methionine) riboswitch aptamer". From Rfam's summary of the family: It is found upstream of a number of genes which code for proteins involved in methionine or cysteine biosynthesis. The record is from Rfam. Lineage: Bacteria; Pseudomonadati; Bacteroidota; Cytophagia; Cytophagales; Hymenobacteraceae.
CAAAAGCAUUAAGAGUACCUGUAGGUACGGCAACCGGGUUUAAGCUCCAUCGGUGCCAAAACAAUGCGCGGCUUCUGCCGAAAAAAAGCUUUAGUG